GUUAAAAAAAAAAUGAAAACUAGCUUACUCAAUGUUUAUCAUGACACAUCGAUAUUUCCUAUUUUUCAUUGUACUUGAUAGGUUGAAAAAGUUAACCAAUAUGUCAAAAAUACUGCAUGUUAUAUGCUUUUUUAUUAGUUCUCAUGAAAAUCUUUUUUUUUUUCCUUACUUAUUUACAAACAAUUUAAAAAGAAACGAAAUGAUUUUACAUUAUUAAUUGUUUCCUUCAUUUUUACUUGUUUAGAAAUAAUUUACAAACAAUGCUCACUACUUACUGUAAACAUUAUCCUGGUGAUGAUGCAGACAUGGUUGCAACUCAAAACAAAGCUAUAAUUGAAGUUGUUCAAGAACUUGUACGACAGCUGACUCAACCAAAUACAUGUGUUAGAGAUCAGAAACAAUGAAAAUGAUUACUCUUAAAGUUACGCCACUUCACAAAUGAUACUUUAAUAGAUAUCUUAUUGUCUAGUAGCUCUUCAUACUGUCAAUCAAUUGUGGAUACUGUGAGUCAAGAGCUCAAUAAUUUGUUUUUGUAUCCCCUGUAAUCCAGCAUUUUGUGGAAAAGUGUUUUAUUGCUGGUCAUAGUUUAGAAAUUCUUGGUAAUGAAAGAAUUUUUCUCUUGAUCCCUUUGAAAAGCAGUGUGCAAAUGAAAUUGAAGUUCAACCUGAAUAUUUUAAUGUUGUAAUUUUUUAAUCUUUAUGUAAGAAAAAUUAGAAAUGGAAAUUGAUUCAGAUUCUUAUUAUUUAAUUAUUUAUGUGCAAACAUUGUGAAUAAAGUUUUCCGUUCUGAGCAACCCAUGAUUAAAGAAACUUCCAUUAAA
Molecule: non-coding RNA, 820 nt
Organism: Parasteatoda tepidariorum (common house spider)
Lineage: Eukaryota; Metazoa; Arthropoda; Arachnida; Araneae; Theridiidae
Source: RefSeq, a predicted model, not a curated record